This is an RNA transcript of Hordeum vulgare subsp. vulgare (domesticated barley), 1638 nucleotides long. RefSeq lists it as uncharacterized. The record is from RefSeq and is a predicted model, not a curated record. The transcript has 4 exons. Lineage: Eukaryota; Viridiplantae; Streptophyta; Magnoliopsida; Poales; Poaceae.
CUUGAUUCAGCGUAUCUAGUUAUCGAGCAACAAAGUAUCAAUGCAGCCCAAGAUUACCACCUCUUUCGAUCUUGAGUCAAGAGAUGUACUCGGCCAAUCUUGGGCAAAAAAAUUUCACGCAAAUGAUAUUGCUGGUCUGAAAGCUGACUGUCCAUACUUUCGGGCAGCAAUGAAGAUCACUCAAAAGCUUGGCCCAAUUCCUCUCCCAACUGCCAAGGAGAUUGAUGGGAUAUAUCUGGACAAGAACUAUGAUGAAGCUGUGGAGUGGCUGAAGAUUUUCAAACAAGAUUGGAAGAACUUUGGUGUUACCGUGAUGUGUGACUCAUGGACUGGGCCGACUGGCAUGAGUGUUAUCAACUUCAUGGUGUAUUGCAAUGAAAAAAUGUUUUUCCAUAAAUCCAUUGAUGCUUAUGGUCAAACUCAAAAUUCUGAAUUUAUCUAUAGACAGAUUAAAAAGGUUGUUGUUGAUGAGAUAGGACAUGAGAAUGUGGUUCAAAUUAUAACCGACAAUGGUUCAAAUUAUAAAAAAGCUUGUAAAACUCUUGUAGAACAACCGGAGUACAACCAUAUUGUUUGGCAACCAUGUGCUGCCCAUACAAUCAACCUCAUGCUUAAAGAUAUUGCUAAGUUUCCGGAAGUUGAUGUGAUAGUUAAAAGUGCCAAGCAAAUCUGUAGGUUUUUUCAUAAUCACAAUAACCUGCAUGAUAGCAUGAAAAAGAAUGUUGGCGGUGAACUGAUAAAACCCAAUGCCACUCGGUUUGGUACGGUGUUCAUGUUCCUUGAGAGUUAUCAUGAAAAGAAGGAUCAAUUUAGGAAAUGGAUGGUAUCUGAUGAUUGGAAGAAAAGUAUUUGGAGGAAGGAUGCUGAUUAUGUGUUUUCCGAGGCAUUACUAUCUAGUAAUAUGUGGUGGGCUGCCUUGGAGUGGGUUCUUAAUCUGUUAGAGCCACUUUAUAAAGCCCUUAGGUACGCUGAUACUCAAAAGCAAUGCACCUUGUCUGGCUUCAAGAAGAGCAUGAUGACAGCUGUACAAACUUUGGAAGGAAGGGCAAUGGAACGAAAAGGAAGAGAGUAUUGGAAGAAGAUGAGGAUGACUACAUUGAUUGUGAUGAUGAUGAAGAAGAAGAUGAGUACAUAGACAUUGAUGAUGAGGAUGAAUGCGGAGAUGAUAGCGCAAGUGAAGCUGAUGGAGAAGAUUCAACUACCCGAGUUGAAAAAGAUCAACCAAGCCAAGAUGGAAACGAGGUUGAGGAAAGAAAUGAUGGAGGUUUGCUGAACUGCCGUAGGUCUCGACGAGGAAAGCAAAGCACGAAGCUGAAGGACUUGACGAGCCUUUACAAUUGACAGGUAAGUUCAUAGGUAAGUUCAUAGAAGCAUUUGGAGCAUCGUAUGUGGUCGCAAGGUUGCUGUCCAGUGAAGAAAUGACACAAGAAUGGAAGAAGGAAGCUUCUGGUUGCAUUUUGUGGUGUAUGAGAACUCUGAAUGUUAUUUUGUGGGAUGCAUGAAAUGUUGUCCAGGACUAGUUGUGGACAAUUCAUUUGGAUGGAUGUUCUUUUGCUGUGAUCUUGGAUGUAGUUAAACUAUGCUACGGAUUGGCCUGGAUGUAGAACCUAAGUUAUGAUUGGUAGACUAUAAUCUUUA